RNAcentral lists this ribosomal RNA (1751 nucleotides) under Atlantibacter subterraneus. RNAcentral's name for it is "Atlantibacter subterranea partial 23S ribosomal RNA". It matches the Rfam family "Bacterial large subunit ribosomal RNA", at positions 1218 to 2925 of the family's 2925-position model. Lineage: Bacteria; Pseudomonadati; Pseudomonadota; Gammaproteobacteria; Enterobacterales; Enterobacteriaceae. The record is from RNAcentral.
GUGUUGUUGGGUAGGGGAGCGUUCUGUAAGCCGUUGAAGGUGGACUGUGAGGUCUGCUGGAGGUAUCAGAAGUGCGAAUGCUGACAUAAGUAACGAUAAAGCGGGUGAAAAGCCCGCUCGCCGGAAGACCAAGGGUUCCUGUCCAACGUUAAUCGGGGCAGGGUGAGUCGACCCCUAAGGCGAGGCCGAAAGGCGUAGUCGAUGGGAAACAGGUUAAUAUUCCUGUACUUGGUGUUACUGCGAAGGGGGGACGGAGAAGGCUAUGUCGGCCGGGCGACGGUUGUCCCGGUUUAAGCGUGUAGGUGGGUGUUCCAGGUAAAUCCGGAACGCUGUUAACACUGAGGCGUGAUGACGAGGCACUACGGUGCUGAAGUGACAAAUGCCCUGCUUCCAGGAAAAGCCUCUAAGCAUCAGGUAACACGAAAUCGUACCCCAAACCGACACAGGUGGUCAGGUAGAGAAUACCAAGGCGCUUGAGAGAACUCGGGUGAAGGAACUAGGCAAAAUGGUGCCGUAACUUCGGGAGAAGGCACGCUGGCAUGUAGGUGAAGUCCCCUGCGGACGGAGCUGAAGCCAGUCGAAGAUACCAGCUGGCUGCAACUGUUUAUUAAAAACACAGCACUGUGCAAACACGAAAGUGGACGUAUACGGUGUGACGCCUGCCCGGUGCCGGAAGGUUAAUUGAUGGGGUUAUCCGUAAGGAGAAGCUCUUGAUCGAAGCCCCGGUAAACGGCGGCCGUAACUAUAACGGUCCUAAGGUAGCGAAAUUCCUUGUCGGGUAAGUUCCGACCUGCACGAAUGGCGUAAUGAUGGCCAGGCUGUCUCCACCCGAGACUCAGUGAAAUUGAAAUCGCUGUGAAGAUGCAGUGUACCCGCGGCAAGACGGAAAGACCCCGUGAACCUUUACUAUAGCUUGACACUGAACACUGGUCCUUGAUGUGCAGGAUAGGUGGGAGGCUUUGAAGCGUGGACGCCAGUCUGCGUGGAGCCAUCCUUGAAAUACCACCCUUUAAUGGCUGGUGUUCUAACGUUGACCCGUAAUCCGGGUUGCGGACAGUGUCUGGUGGGUAGUUUGACUGGGGCGGUCUCCUCCUAAAGCGUAACGGAGGAGCACGAAGGUUGGCUAAUCCUGGUCGGACAUCAGGAGGUUAGUGCAAUGGCAUAAGCCAGCUUGACUGCGAGCGUGACGGCGCGAGCAGGUGCGAAAGCAGGUCAUAGUGAUCCGGUGGUUCUGAAUGGAAGGGCCAUCGCUCAACGGAUAAAAGGUACUCCGGGGAUAACAGGCUGAUACCGCCCAAGAGUUCAUAUCGACGGCGGUGUUUGGCACCUCGAUGUCGGCUCAUCACAUCCUGGGGCUGAAGUAGGUCCCAAGGGUAUGGCUGUUCGCCAUUUAAAGUGGUACGCGAGCUGGGUUUAGAACGUCGUGAGACAGUUCGGUCCCUAUCUGCCGUGGGCGCUGGAGAACUGAGGGGGGCUGCUCCUAGUACGAGAGGACCGGAGUGGACGCAUCACUGGUGUUCGGGUUGUCAUGCCAAUGGCACUGCCCGGUAGCUACAUGCGGAAGAGAUAAGUGCUGAAAGCAUCUAAGCACGAAACUUGCCCCGAGAUGAGUUCUCCCUGAGACUAUAAGUCUCCUGAAGGAACGUUGAAGACGACGACGUUGAUAGGCCGGGUGUGUAAGCGCAGCGAUGCGUUGAGCUAACCGGUACUAAUGAGCCGUGAGGCUUAACCUUACAACGCCAGAGUGGUUU